This 407-nucleotide unclassified non-coding RNA is filed under the name uncultured Kurtzmanomyces. RNAcentral describes it as "sequence contains ITS2". The stretch from base 1 to 155 matches the Rfam family "5.8S ribosomal RNA". The record is from RNAcentral. Lineage: Eukaryota; Fungi; Basidiomycota; Agaricostilbomycetes.
AACUUUUAACAACGGAUCUCUUGGCUCUCGCAUCGAUGAAGAACGCAGCAAAGCGCGAAAUGUAGUGUGAAUUGCAGAAUUCAGUGAAUCAUCGAAUCUUUGAACGCACCUUGCGCUCCCGGGCUAUUCCUGGGAGCAUGUUCGUUGGAGUGUCGCGUACCUCUCAACCCCGUCCUCGUCAAGAGGAUCGUCUAGGGUUGGAUCGUGGCCCUUGUGCUCUUCGGACCACUGGGCUGAAAUGCAAGAAGCUGUACCUUUGUUACUGGCGGCUUGACCUGUUGUCGUAAAUCUUAAUUCAACGGGGAUCGUCGGUCGGGAUGGGCUUACCAUAAACCAAAAUUUGAUACUUUGACCUCCAAUCGAGCAGGACUACCCCCUGAACUUAAGCAUAUCAAUAAGCGGAGGCU